Molecule: ribosomal RNA, 465 nt
Filed under: Vreelandella stevensii
Lineage: Bacteria; Pseudomonadati; Pseudomonadota; Gammaproteobacteria; Oceanospirillales; Halomonadaceae
Description: partial 16S ribosomal RNA
Rfam family: Bacterial small subunit ribosomal RNA
Source: RNAcentral
CCUACGGGGUGCUGCAGUGGGAAAUAUUGGACAAUGGGCGAAAGCCUGAUCCAGCCAUGCCGCGUAUGUGAAGAAGGCCUUCGGGUUGUAAAGCACUUUCAGUGGGGAAGAAAGCCUUGGGGCUAAUACCCUCGAGGAAGGACAUCACCCACAGAAGAAGCACCGGCUAACUCCGUGCCAGCAGCCGCGGUAAUACGGAGGGUGCGAGCGUUAAUCGGAAUUACUGGGCGUAAAGCGCGCGUAGGCGGUCUGAUAAGCCGGUUGUGAAAGCCCCGGGCUCAACCUGGGAACGGCAUCCGGAACUGUCAGGCUAGAGUGCAGGAGAGGAAGGUAGAAUUCCCGGUGUAGCGGUGAAAUGCGUAGAGAUCGGGAGGAAUACCAGUGGCGAAGGCGGCCUUCUGGACUGACACUGACGCUGAGGUGCGAAAGCGUGGGUAGCAAACAGGAUUAGAUACCCGAGUAGUC